GUCAGUGAGUGUGUAUGUCUGUCAGUGUGUAUGUCUGUCAGUGACUGUGUGUCUGUCAGCGAGUGUGUGUCUGUGUCUGUCAGUGAGUGUGUCUCAGUGAGUGUGUCUUGGUGUGUGUGUCUGUCAGUGAGUGUGUGUGUGUUUCUGUCAGUGAGUGUGUCUCAGUGAGUGUGUGUCAGUCAGUGUCAGUCAGUGUUGCGAUGGCUGUGGC
Molecule: non-coding RNA, 211 nt
Organism: Pelobates cultripes (western spadefoot toad)
Lineage: Eukaryota; Metazoa; Chordata; Amphibia; Anura; Pelobatidae
Source: the annotation of a GenBank genome assembly